Molecule: long non-coding RNA, 1415 nt
Filed under: Phoenix dactylifera (date palm)
Lineage: Eukaryota; Viridiplantae; Streptophyta; Magnoliopsida; Arecales; Arecaceae
Description: long non-coding RNA (PDAC_LNC013764)
Source: RNAcentral
GCCGAUUCCAUUUGCACUCAGGGCCCAACAGGCCUCUUCUUCAACAGGGCCAUACCACUCCACCCUCCUUUCUUCAUUACAUGGGCCAACUGCAGCCACAGGCCUGCAGACCUUUCAGGCUCACACUGUACAACUACUACAGGCCCACAGCAGCAUCCUUUUAGUGUCCAUUUCAACUGAACAGCUCGGAUUCAGCAAUCAGCCCCCACUGAGUGUCGGCACUGUGUCAUCGUCUCCACUGCUUGGGAAGCCACGAGCAAACGAUUUUGGUCGACUACUUCACGACAGGUGAUAGGUUUCUACUUUUCUUCGGCUUGUUUAUCUAAUUAUGUUCUAGUUCUCUUGCAUGACAGUCCUAUUUUGAAAACUUACUUUCCUGUCAAACUGCAAAACCUAAAACAUCUACUUUCAAACCCAUCCUAUUCGCUUUUUAAAAUCUAGAUAUUAAAUUAGCACACCCUAGCAACUGGACAUUUCUCAACAUUCUUUGAUCAGAUUGAUUUAGGAUCAGAACAACUGUACUACUUCAUUGCAAUCUAAUUUCUUAAAUUGAAUAAUCUUAAUCCUUAAUUCUGAAUAACCGAAGUAAAAAUCAGCAACAUUUAAAUUUUAAGUUAUUUUUGUGAAGACUUGCUGAUUUCUGAAAUCAUAAUAGAUUGCAUUAGUAGGUUGUCCUGCAUCAAAUUUGGUCCUACAUUAUAGUUAUUAGGGUUUCAUUAGUGACACUGCAUUUCGCAUCAUCACCAAGUGUCAUCAUUACAUGCCAACCUGUAGUGAUAUGGAGUACUAUCUCAGUUGAUGGGGACAUCAGAGCCCUUCAUCCAGAUGAUCCUGAGCCCUCGGAUUGAGUCAGACCCAUUUUAUUUGCAUAUUUAUUUGUCUAUUUUUAUUUCUGGGCUUAUUUGCAUUUUAGGGCUUAUUUGUGGGUUAUUUGUGUUAUUUGUGGAUUUAUUAGGAUUUAUUUCUGUGUAAGGGGAUUUAUGCAAAUUUUGUAUUUUGGCCCUAUAUAUAGGGACCUCUUUUCAUGAUUAGGGUUAAAUGAAAGAUUAACAAUUUUCUUCCCCACGUCUCCUCCUCCUCUCUUUCUCCUUCUCUUCUCCUUCUUUUCUUCCUCCUCUUCUCCCUCUUCUUCUGUUCCUGAUUCAAAAUUGCAACGUGAGUACAUCGUAUCCACUGAAGACUGCCUUCCCGGACUUGGUCCUACACCAACUUGGUAUCAGAGCUUCGGCUUUGCCACUGCUGCCAAAGCCACGAUUGUUCUCUUUCUUCCCUCUUUCUCGGUUUUCACCAGGCACUCUCUCUCUCGGUUUUCACCCCCCCCUCUGUCAGUUUUCACCAGAGAAAAAAAAAACAAAAAAAGAGAGAAGGUCCGUCCGUCCCUCUUGGUUCUCAUCAGAGACAGAGGGGAAAACGCC